CGGGCCGUAGCGCAGAGGUCGACGCACCGCGCUCACACCGCGGAGGACGCCGGUUCGAUUCCGGCCGGUCCGCC
This 74-nucleotide transfer RNA is filed under the name Actinoplanes regularis. Its description in RNAcentral is "tRNA-Val". It matches the Rfam family "tRNA". From Rfam's summary of the family: Transfer RNA (tRNA) molecules are approximately 80 nucleotides in length. The record is from RNAcentral. Lineage: Bacteria; Bacillati; Actinomycetota; Actinomycetes; Micromonosporales; Micromonosporaceae.